RNAcentral lists this ribosomal RNA (505 nucleotides) under Salmonella enterica. RNAcentral describes it as "partial 23S ribosomal RNA". It matches the Rfam family "Bacterial large subunit ribosomal RNA", at positions 141 to 688 of the family's 2925-position model. The record is from RNAcentral. Lineage: Bacteria; Pseudomonadati; Pseudomonadota; Gammaproteobacteria; Enterobacterales; Enterobacteriaceae. RNAcentral also lists the same sequence under 1 other name.
CGUCACACUAUCAUUAACUGAAUCCAUAGGUUAAUGAGGCGAACCGGGGGAACUGAAACAUCUAAGUACCCCGAGGAAAAGAAAUCAACCGAGAUUCCCCCAGUAGCGGCGAGCGAACGGGGAGGAGCCCAGAGCCUGAAUCAGCAUGUGUGUUAGUGGAAGCGUCUGGAAAGGCGCGCGAUACAGGGUGACAGCCCCGUACACAAAAGCGCAUGUGCUGUGAGCUCGAUGAGUAGGGCGGGACACGUGGUAUCCUGUCUGAAUAUGGGGGGACCAUCCUCCAAGGCUAAAUACUCCUGACUGACCGAUAGUGAACCAGUACCGUGAGGGAAAGGCGAAAAGAACCCCGGCGAGGGGAGUGAAAAAGAACCUGAAACCGUGUACGUACAAGCAGUGGGAGCACCCUUUGGGUGUGACUGCGUACCUUUUGUAUAAUGGGUCAGCGACUUAUAUUCUGUAGCAAGGUUAACCGAAUAGGGGAGCCGGAGGGAAACCGAGUCUUAAC